Molecule: long non-coding RNA, 215 nt
Organism: Camellia sinensis
Lineage: Eukaryota; Viridiplantae; Streptophyta; Magnoliopsida; Ericales; Theaceae
Source: RefSeq, a predicted model, not a curated record
UCAUUUGGAGCUUGAACAUGAGAAAGAGCAGAAUUUGGGGAUGGCUAACCUUAUAGGGUUCAUUAUCGACCCUAAACUUGAGAGUAGAGAAGUGCUUUCACGGUCAUCUCUUCUCACAGAACUGGUUGCAAAAGGUGUAAUGACCUGUGUGACUCAAGAAGUAAAAGAUCUUUACCAUCUUUUGGAGCAUGAGUUUCUCCCUCUAGAUCUUGCAU